GCUGCUCUCAUUAAUACCCUAUUAACACAACAGGCUGUUGUGCUGCAUGGCAGUGGUGUUAAAGCAAUGGGGGAAUGCAGGCGGGUGAUGAUGAGGGGUGAGGAAGAGCCCAGUUCUGUCCCACCACACCGCUCCCAUGUGUCACUGCCAUCCAUGUGUGCUGCACAUCAGACCUGCCUGGAAGUGGCCAAAUUCUGCCUUCAUCCUCUCUCUGCUUGAAUAAAAAGCAAAACAGUGUCUGAAAUCUGAUUGAGAGGAAAGCGUUUUCCCUUUCACUUCCUGCAAGACAUGCCCUCUCUCUGCCAACCAUAUCCUGGGUUACAUUAAAAAAGGGGUGGCCAGCAGGGAGAGGGAGGUGAUUGUGCCCCUCUACUCAGCUCCUGUGAGGCCCCAUCUGCAGUACUGCGUCCAGGCCUGGGGCCCCCAGUAGAGGAAGGAUGUGAAGCUCUUGAGAGGAUCCAGAGGAGGGUCACUAAGAUGGUCAGAGGGCUGGAGUACCUCUCCUAUGAGGAAAGGUUGAGGGAAUUGGGCUUGUUUAGUUUGGAGAAGAGAAGGCUCUGGAGAGACCUCAUUGUGGCCUUCCAGUACUUGAAGGGAGUGUAUAAACAGGAGGGGAACAGCUGUUUAUGAGGGUGGAUAGUGAUAGGACAAGGGGGAAUGGUUUUAAACUGAGACAGGGGAGGUUUAGGUUGGAGAUGAGGAGGAAGUUUUUUCCCCCAGAGGGUGGUGACGCACUGAACAGGUUGCCCAAGGAGGCUGUGGAUGCCCCAUCCCUGCAGGCAUUCAAGGCCAGGCUGGAUGUGGCUCUGGGCAGCCUGGGCUGCUGGUUGGUGACCCUGCACAUAGCAGGGGGUUGGAACUGGAUGAGCACUGUGCUCCUUUUCAACCCAGGCCAUUCUAGGAUUCUAGGAUUCUAUGAUAUGGUGAGCAUGGUCCCAUUGACAUCCUCCAAGAGAACUGUCAGUGAUGGGUUUCUUAUCUUACAUUAUUGCUCACGGUGACAAGUAACGCUGUGGGAGGUCAUCCACAGGGCAGGGAUGCAUGGCAGCCCUUCCCAUCCAGCCCCUGCCACCACUUCUCACAGCUCUUAACACAUCACCACCAUUAAAGCACGCUGAAACCCUUCUGUUUGAUCUAUCCAGAGGCAUCCAAAUUACACACCAACCCCAGCGUCUGCAGAAGGAUUUCCCCAUUCUCAGCUAAACGCUCUGAGCAGCAGCAAUACAGUGAAGGUGCUUUAAUCCUCCAGCAGCCGUGAACCCCCCGGCCCUCCCUCAAAGCACUCCGCACGGCUCUGCUCCAUUGAAGCACUGCUCAUUAGCGGCUUUCCUGUAAAUAACCCAGAGCUCCAUUCCCAGGGCUCACCCAGCGUGCUCUUCAUCUACUGCUGCAUGCAGAGGCUGAAGGAGCCACGUUGCAGCACUUUUCUCUGAUGCUUCUGUAGGUCCGGAGAAGUCGGUAACUUUUUAAUCAAACACGUGGAGGAGCUGCAGAGAGGAAUUAACACCACAUCCUCAGCAGGGCCAGCAGACAGCAGCCCGA
Molecule: long non-coding RNA, 1542 nt
Filed under: Gallus gallus (chicken)
Lineage: Eukaryota; Metazoa; Chordata; Aves; Galliformes; Phasianidae
Description: lncRNA (ENSGALG00010020296.1)
Source: RNAcentral